Molecule: non-coding RNA, 751 nt
Organism: Heterocephalus glaber (naked mole-rat)
Lineage: Eukaryota; Metazoa; Chordata; Mammalia; Rodentia; Bathyergidae
Source: RefSeq, a predicted model, not a curated record
GUCCGUGACCCUCUCGGAGAGUCGCAGUUUCUAAAUCUCUCGAAGUAACGCGGCUUUAGCCAGGAGGUCCCAAGCGUUAGGAUUAAAAAUAAAGAUAAAAGGGGAAUGGGGGGCUGGGGGAGGUGGACCUUGUGUUUGCACCUAGGUGAAACCUUCCUCUGCAGGCGGCGGUGUUUGCUUAGGGUCUCCCGCACCACCUGGAUUGCCCGGAGAGCGAUGUAUGAGCUUGCAAAUUUACACACAGACACACACACACAGGACUCUGCAGAUGAAUCCUUUCCCUCCGCCUACAUCCUGUGUGGUAGGUGAGCACCAGCCCUUCCGGUCACUACAGUUAAGGAGACUGGCCCAAGAAGGUUUGGGGAGAUUUGCCUAAAAUCCCAUGAACUGACAGACUGAGGCUAGGCUUCAUACCUGAUCAUCUUUAAGCAAUGAGAAGCAGAGGAAAAGGCAGUAGUGGGGAUCGAACUUGGGUCCUUGUGCUUGAGCAGCAGCAGCAGCACCAGAAAAAAGAAGAAGAAGAGGAGGAGGAGGAGGAGGAGCAAGAAGAAGAAGGAGGAGAAGAAGAAGAAGAGGAAGAAGAAAGAAGAGGAGGAGGAAGCAGAAGAAGCAACUUUUCAAUUGUGGGCAGAAAUCCCAAGACCAAACUGGUUGUUUCUUCUAGAAAGAUGACUCUUUAAGUUAUUAUCAUUCUCCUUCCAGGGUGCUGUUCAGGGACAGGCCUGGCAAAAUAAAACUGCUACUGGAGAGA